CUUCUUCUGUGACAGCUGUAGGGCUCGUCGGGGGAUUGAACCCAGGACCUCUCGCAUCCUAAGCGAGAAUCAUACCCCUUGAUUAACGAGCCCUGAAGAAAGACCCUGCUGUGCCAAAAAAAAAUCUUACUUUUUUAUAAAUACUUUUUGUUCUUGUUGUUUUUAGUAUGGGCCACCUGGGUUGCCUUUGAUGCAGUCCCUUUUAAGUUGGCUGUGCAGCACAAUCCACAAUAGCGAUCUGCUAAAAAGAUUCAGAGUGAGCUUCUGUUUAGAAUACAGUUAAAAGCAUCAGUCUGCAAUAUUAGAAAACCAGUAAAACAACUCAGGUGGACCUCUGGAAAAGCCAGGCUAUUUGCUUUAUACGAGCUUACAUGUCCUACAAAUUUAUUAAUAGGACAUACCCUAUUAAUAAACCGCCAUGUUGUGAACCCGAAAGCAAAGUAUCCAGUAAAAAUUCAUGUCUGGGGAGCCAUAUUCCGUCAGGGACCUGGACCGCUAGUUGUGUUAGAAGGAAUUAUGGACAGAUGUUUUUACGAAAACACUAUAAUAAAAUUCAAUCAGGCUCCAUACAUAAAACAACACUUUAAGAACCAUAUCACUUCUUCCAAGGUAGAUACAGUAUGUAGGCCUACUGUACCAACUGUG
Danio rerio (zebrafish) is the source of this 645-nucleotide non-coding RNA. The record is from RefSeq and is a predicted model, not a curated record. NCBI's taxonomy places the organism in Eukaryota, Metazoa, Chordata, Actinopteri, Cypriniformes, Danionidae.